CUAAUACCGGAUACGAGCUGCGACCGCAUGGUCAGUAGCUGGAAAGAAUUUCGGUCAGGGAUGAGCUCGCGGCCUAUCAGCUUGUUGGUGAGGUAAUGGCUCACCAAGGCGUCGACGGGUAGCCGGCCUGAGAGGGUGACCGGCCACACUGGGACUGAGACACGGCCCAGACUCCUACGGGAGGCAGCAGUGGGGAAUAUUGCACAAUGGGCGAAAGCCUGAUGCAGCAACGCCGCGUGAGGGAUGACGGCCUUCGGGUUGUAAACCUCUUUUAGCAGGGAAGAAGCGAAAGUGACGGUACCUGCAGAAAAAGCGCCGGCUAACUACGUGCCAGCAGCCGCGGUAAUACGUAGGGCGCAAGCGUUAUCCGGAAUUAUUGGGCGUAAAGAGCUCGUAGGCGGUCUGUCGCGUCUGCUGUGAAAACCCGAGGCUCAACCUCGGGCCUGCAGUGGGUACGGGCAGACUAGAGUGCGGUAGGGGAGAUUGGAAUUCCUGGUGUAGCGGUGGAAUGCGCAGAUAUCAGGAGGAACACCGAUGGCGAAGGCAGAUCUCUGGGCCGUAACUGACGCUGAGGAGCGAAAGGGUGGGGAGCAAACAGGCUUAGAUACCCUGGUAGUCCACCCCGUAAACGUUGGGAACUAGUUGUGGGGUCCAUUCCACGGAUUCCGUGACGCAGCU
RNAcentral lists this ribosomal RNA (678 nucleotides) under Microbacterium sp. Its description in RNAcentral is "bacterial SSU rRNA". It matches the Rfam family "Bacterial small subunit ribosomal RNA", at positions 163 to 853 of the family's 1533-position model. The record is from RNAcentral. Lineage: Bacteria; Bacillati; Actinomycetota; Actinomycetes; Micrococcales; Microbacteriaceae.